Peromyscus californicus insignis is the source of this 4140-nucleotide long non-coding RNA. RefSeq lists it as uncharacterized. The record is from RefSeq and is a predicted model, not a curated record. The transcript has 2 exons. Lineage: Eukaryota; Metazoa; Chordata; Mammalia; Rodentia; Cricetidae.
UCCAGCCGGGGCUCAAGUCCCCUCCCAUAGGAAAGAUGUGAAUUUGAUGCUGAGCCCCAGCGGACUAAAUGUGCAGGUUGCCGGAAGGCUGCAGCUCCAUGGCCAUACAUCAUCCCUUCCUCACCGAGAAUCACAUUCUCACCUCCCAAUACUUACGCUAUGAAGUUAACCUAUGUCCCUCCACGGCUCCCACCCUUUCAGGUUAUUGAUGCCGAAGGGAUGAGAACGGAAGGUCCAUCUUUACCAUUUUAUAGAUAGUUUUUAUGGGUGAGGGUGGGGAAGCGGGGGAUAGAUAUGCUCUUAAGAAAGGUGCUGUCAUUCUCCUAGUCAGUACCCAGGAAGGGUAGCCCGCUGGGUUGAACACUUGUUAACCACUACCCAUUUGCCAGCGACUGAACCAUAGGGGUCUGGUGAGAAAGAGGUCUAGAGUAAGCAUUUGGAUAUUAAUCUGGGCCCAGCUUUCUGUACUUCUGAGAGAUACCUGUGGGUUCCCAAGCCCUGGAGGACGGCAGGGCAUGGCUGGAACUUUGGCAAGGAGGCAGGAGGAAGCAGAUCAGACCCUAGAGCCACUCACAGGAGAGAGGCGAAAUUCAUCAAUUAGUCCUGAAAAGACCCAACAGUAUCUGAAAACUAUGAAUGGGGAGGGGCACUUGGUGGUUCCUGGGUAUCAGGGGAAAUUGCAGGGCAGCAGAGAGAGCUCCUGGCUACCCCACCUCUUCCAGCUUGCUUGUUCUCUCUUCCCUGGGGCUGGCUCUCUCUCUCUCCUCUUUCUACACUGCUGUCAUAUGCCAGGCUCUAGGCAAGUGUUGGUGAGGAGGGAGUGCUGAGAACAUCUUUACCUCCCUGCAAAAGCCAGGUGGUACCGGGAUCCCUAUGCCCAUAACACCGAUCCAAGAAGACCCUAAAUAAGGCCCCCUUCUCUUUCUCCCCAGCUGUGUCUCCGGCCUUCCUAUCCUUUCAGGAGAGACCCAGGAUUUUUGCAAAACCCCUUUAAGAUGCAGGACUCCUGAACGGUGACCUCACUCCUUGGCCAACCGGCCUUUAGAGCCCUCCUGCGGGAGACAGCCAGGUGUUUGAUGUAGACUAACAAAGAAGACAAGCUCAGAGCCACAGGUACAUGCGGGAACUGCAGGGACCUUCUAGAAGCCUGCCUAAGGAAGGCAGGAGGGUAGCGGAAGGAGAUCAUCCAGGGAGAGGCUGUGCCACCACAGAUGAGGAAGCAGGCUCGAAGUGGGGAAGUAACUCGUCUGGGAUUGCACAGUUCACGUUUGUGUGGAAUGCAGAGCUACAGCAGCACAUGGUCUAGUGGGAAGGUAGGGGAUUUCCUAGAAGUGACCUAGACACUGACAUCUGUACCCACUGUCAGGCCAGUGUCAUAAGAAUCUUAAGGACUAAGGGAUCUACAUGGUUGGAGUGAUCAUCCUUACCGAAGAGAGAAUGGUUUCCACCAUUUGGGUCUUAAGGCCCUUUUACGCUCUUUUAAAAAUUAAUGAGAACAAAACAAAUGAGAAAAAAAAUCCAGUUUUUGUUUAUAUCAGUUUAUCUUCUGAAGCUACCAUGUUAGAAAUGAAAACAGAGGCAUUCCAUUAGUUAUCAAAACAAUGGAGUUAUCUUUAUAACAACCCUCCAGUGUGGGCAUUAUUAAUAUCAUCAUCCCAUUUUAUAGGCAAGAAAUCAAGAUCAAUGAUGCUAAAUAGUCCUAGGGCUCCUAAAGCCAGGAUUGGACUAUAGGCAGCUUGGUUCCAGAGCUCAAGCAGUGAACUACUUUUUAUGAUACUUGGACAAUGUCUUAGUUGCUUUUCCCAUUGCUGUGAUAAGAUACCCUGACCAAAGGAAGACAAGGUGCAUUCUGCCUCACAAUUUGAGGAUAUAGUCCAUCACAAUGAAGAAAUCAAGAUGUCAGACCUUGAAGCAGUUGUUCACAUUGCCUCUGCUGUCAGGAUAAAGGGUAACAAUGGAUGCUUGUGCUCAGCCAGCUCUCUCUUUUUUCUGCAGGCUAGGACCCCUGCCUAGGGAAUGGUGCUUCCCCCUCUUUUAGGGGGGGGAUCUUCUUAUCUCAGGGUACCUGAUCAAGAUAAUCCCUCACAGGCAUGCCCAGAGGCUAACCUAAUCUAAACGAUCCCCCCACAGGUUUGUAUCCCCUUCAGAUAUAAAACUUGUCAAGUUGACAAUAAGCACUCCCCAUUACAGACAUGAUACAGCCAUCCCUUUCCUACUAGGGAGUGGCCAUUGGAACAUUCUUCUUCAGGCUUGGGCUAAGUCUGUAGCCUGUUUGGGACAAGGACAGGGCACAAAGAGUUAACCUUUCUCAAGAUAAAACUUGAAAUUGAGAGAAAAUUUCUUUCCCUAGAGGCACACCAGGCAUCCCACACCCAGGCAAGGGUGAGAAGUCUGCUCUUACAGCACAAGCCUUCCACGAGUUAUUUAUUGAAGUGUUGUGGCACCCUUGCCACAUCCCAGAGCCUCUGGAUGGAGGCUCCUCUGCAGAGUCUGUGAUUACCCAGAAAGACCAGAAAGAAAUGAGUUCUUUGAAGAGGCUGAGGUAGGAUAAAACGUGGCUGAAAUAUGCCCUCCCAUGAAAGCCUCGCCCAACCCACGUUUGCCUUUACUAGCUCAUUUUCCCUCUGUGACUAUCUGCUGAGGACUCCUGUGUGCCGUGUACCUUCUCAAUCAGAACAAUGUUUAAGCCUCACAGCAACUUUGUGCAUCCGGUCAUUUGCAAAUUCAAUCUAUCAACACUUACUAACACUGACAGUGUGCCUAGCACUUAACUGGGUACCUGGAGCAUGGUGCAGAGGAGAAGACAGAUAAGGACCUGUCUUUGGGGAAACUCUGACCAUAUGGAGAAGACAGAUGAGGAGAGAGGCAAUCAUGGGCAGCGCGGGAUAAAGAGAAGCAUGGGGUGAGGACUGGGCUAACCUAGACUAGGAGCUCAAUAAAAUAUUUGCAGUCAUUAAACUGAGGACGCCCCCCCCCCAUGGUGAAAGCUCUAGGCUAGAUCAGUACCCACAGUUCCUCUAGAUGCAUUUAGCAGAGGAAAGUGAUGCUAAGUCUUGAACAAGGAGGGUAGGGAUGUGUUUAGGAAGCUAGUAUGGAUUCAGGAUGGCCACAAACCUCCAGCCAGUAGGUGCCCAUUGCAGUGUGGGAAUCACCAUCCUUACACUUCUGUUGAUGGAACCAACUCAUUGUUGAGAAAAAGCAGACUUUGAAGGGUUCCUUUUUUUCUUGAAAGGUGGUUUUUCGGAAUGACUAGAUAAAGGGACCCAACAGGGCUGUCAUCUCUGCUUGCCUUUGUCCUGCUUGCAAGUUUUUAGCAUUUAGAAGAAAGCAUGGUCACUAACAGGUAGCCCCAAACUUACGUGCUCCAAGAUUAUCAAGUCCGCUGGGAGAGAGGUUUUCUUUCUCCUACACAGUGAGUAUGUGCCUACGUGUUUGUCCAGUUUUUAAUUUCAGAAAAAGCAUGUUGUUUCUACACUGAACUCAUGACCACCCUUGUUUGUGUGUCUUAACAAAAGCCCCUAUAGUGUUGAAAGUACACUUUCCCCCCAAAGAGACUCAAAUAAUACUAUUGUUGUAUAGCUGUUUUCUCUGAGAUUAAAAACCUUCCAUUUUGGAGAGAAACUUCUUAAGACAACAGGUUCUAAGGGGAAGUGACGUGCUACAAAGUAGCUCGUUUAAGUUUAGUAUCAGAAGUCAACAACUCAAAACAGUUUCAGGAAGUCCUUGAAAAUGAUCAGAUUCACAAGGACCCUCCCCCAAGAGUAUAUAAACAGUAAAGACUGUUGAGAGUCAACAAAAAAAGAUUCUCAGACAAGCCCCAGAGAUGCCUAAAGGAAGCAGAGGCAAGGCCAGCAGCCUGUAAGAAGGAGAAACCCGCUAACCUGCCCAGAAGAAACAAAGACCGGCAGAGAUGCCUGGAAGAGGACCAGACCAACCUGAGCCACCUGGGAAGGACACUUUCCAACCUGUUGAGCUGCUACAGGCUGUGCCAUACACUCUAGGCUUCUAGCUUUUGUGAAUUGUCACCCAUGUUGGGUAGGCUUUGGUGAUGCAGCUGCCUUUGAGUCAUUUCUGCUCCUUUAAAUAGUCCCCCACUUAUAUUCCUGUAAGUAACCCCAAUAAAACUCGUUGGUUCACUAA